CCUAGCGUAAACAACUGAAGAUGACGGUGAUCAAUCACUAACAGGAGUUUGAUGUGAUAAGCAAUAGAGCCAUUAAACUGAAAAUGAAUUAAUGCUUAUUACAUUUAAUCAUAUUUAGGGCAAUUCAUUCUUUAAUAGACAGCAUCUCUUUCUGAAACUAUUCAUAUCACUAAAAUUUACUACAAUAUUAUUGCCACUCUUGCUAGGGAACAUUGGAAUUUUUUUCUCAGAAGCAAAAAAAAAUAAAGUAUAUUUAUUUCACUCUAUUUUUGCAUUCCAGUGUGAAAUACUGCAAUAGCCUGGAAGCAUUUCGUGCUUUCUAGCAUGCUCAUGAAGAAGAGAGUUCAAUGAGAGUUGUAUUUCACAGAAUUACUAGAACAGCGAUGAUGCCCUGUUUGUAUUUCAAAGUUUAUGUACAGAGCAACAGCUGAUAACAGUUCUCAUCUGGAGAAACUGGAGGCCCUAACUCUUGAGGAACCUCCACAAAUAAAUUACAGCCAAGGAAAUAUCAGAAAACUACACAGCUGCUGUGAACCAAGGAUAACAAGCAGAUCUAAAGGAUGGAACCCCACUGAUGAGUCAGCAUAGGCCCGUUUUUGAAGUAAGCUGUUUCUUCACACUGGAGAAAUUUAAACAACUUUUGAAAGAAAUGGGUCAUUACAUUUGAGACAAGUAUAAACUUUGAGAUAAAAAUCACCUCUGAGAUAGCAUACCAAUAUAAUUGUAAAGUGUUUCUCAUUGUAUAUUACUCAGACUGUUAGCUUGUUCAUUGCCUAUGUACUACUAUGCAGGAAAAAAAAAAGUAAAAAAAAGUUCUAGAACAUGCUCCAGGUAACAUUGUGGUGAGAGGUUAUAAACAGCACAAAAUUUUCAUUACAAAUGUCUGCCCCAGCAAAGGACUUAAAAUAGCAACAUAAUCUGAGGAUAUGGCAACAUAACUCGAUUUCCUAGUUAACUGAGAAAAUUCUAAGUGAACUAGCCAUUCAUUAACACAACUAAUAGCUAACUUUUUAUUAGUGUUUCAGGUUGCUCUAGUAUGAAAGAUUUUAGUGCUAGACACUGCUGAAUGAGAGGUUUAAAAUAGUUUUAGAAUGCAGACAAGCAGAAAUAAUGCCCUAUACAUCUGAAUACUACUGUCAGUUAUCAAUAGAAGAUGAAUAAGAAAGCUAACUAAAUAAUAAUGAAAACCAUGGCAUUAAUUAUUUAAUUACCUAAACACUGACAGUAUUAGGCAUUUCAUUUUACAGUUUAACUAUAGGUAUGAAACUAAAUAGUAGGAAAAAAAGAGAAAUAGGACUAAAUCCAUUCUAUCUAAUUGUGUUAGUGUGGGAAGAAAAGUGUAGAUAUACCAAAUGUUCCUAAAUCAUAGAGGGCCAAAGUGCAGCAAGUGCUCUCCUAAGCACUAACCUUCUUUGUGCCAGUAUUUAAUCAGUAGUGCUGACAGACUGUCAUCAGAAGUCUGAACUGGGAAGAGCAGUUGUCAAAGCACAGAAAUACAAAUAGUAUCAGGAACAGCAGGAGAUACGUGAACCAAGAAUAACAUGCUUUGGAGAAGAUGCAUCAGUUUGAACAAAAGCUUUCCCAUCUUCAGAAUGAAGCAUCUGGUACCUGACAUCCCUGCAAUAAAAGCAUUCAUCUUGACA
Long non-coding RNA from Numida meleagris (helmeted guineafowl), 1643 nucleotides. Lineage: Eukaryota; Metazoa; Chordata; Aves; Galliformes; Numididae. The record is from Ensembl.